AGGGCACCACCAGGAGUGGAGCCUGCGGCUUAAUUUGACUCAACACGGGGAAACUUACCCGGCCUGGACACUGGAAGGAUUGACAGAUUGAGAGCUCUUUCUUGAUUCAGUGGGUGGUGGUGCAUGGCCGUCCUUAGUUGGUGGAGCGAUUUGUCUGGUUAAUUCCGAUAACGAACGAGACUCUAGCCUAUUAAAUAGGCUCCCGGCUUUUAAACGCCGGGAGGACUUCUUAGAGGGACAGGUGGCGGUUCAGCCGCACGAAAGAGAGCAAUAACAGGUCUGUGAUGCCCUUUGUUGUCCGGGGCCGCACGCGCGCUACACUGAAGAGAUCGGCGUGCUUUAUGUUCCUGCUCCGACCGGAGUGGGGAACCCAGUGAACCUUCUUCGUGAUUGGGAUAGAAGAUUGUAAUUAUUCUUCUUGAACGAGGAAUUCCCAGUAAAUGCGAGUCAUAAGCUCGCGUUGAUUACGUCCCUGCCCUUUGUACACACCGCCCGUCGCUACUACCGAUUGAACGAUUU
This 519-nucleotide ribosomal RNA is filed under the name uncultured eukaryote. Its description in RNAcentral is "SSU rRNA". It matches the Rfam family "Eukaryotic small subunit ribosomal RNA", at positions 1161 to 1699 of the family's 1831-position model. The record is from RNAcentral.